GUAGUACAGUGGUAGGAUGCUCACUUGCUACUUGAGUGACCCGGGUUCUAUUCCCGGC
Molecule: transfer RNA, 58 nt
Filed under: Dictyocaulus viviparus (bovine lungworm)
Lineage: Eukaryota; Metazoa; Nematoda; Chromadorea; Rhabditida; Metastrongylidae
Source: Rfam by way of RNAcentral